AGGGUUUGAUCAUGGCUCAGGAUGAACGCUGGCGGCGUGCUUAACACAUGCAAGUCGAGCGAAGCGCUUAAGUUCGAUUCUUCGGAUGAAGACUUUUGUGACUGAGCGGCGGACGGGUGAGUAACGCGUGGGUAACCUGCCUCAUACAGGGGGAUAACAGUUAGAAAUGGCUGCUAAUACCGCAUAAGCGCACAGAGCUGCAUGGCUCAGUGUGAAAAACUCCGGUGGUAUAAGAUGGACCCGCGUUGGAUUAGCUUGUUGGUGGGGUAACGGCCCACCAAGGCGACGAUCCAUAGCCGGCCUGAGAGGGUGAACGGCCACAUUGGGACUGAGACACGGCCCAG
RNAcentral lists this ribosomal RNA (344 nucleotides) under uncultured bacterium. Its description in RNAcentral is "bacterial SSU rRNA". It matches the Rfam family "Bacterial small subunit ribosomal RNA", at positions 8 to 334 of the family's 1533-position model. The record is from RNAcentral.